This 380-nucleotide ribosomal RNA is filed under the name uncultured eukaryote. RNAcentral's name for it is "partial 18S ribosomal RNA". It matches the Rfam family "Eukaryotic small subunit ribosomal RNA", at positions 592 to 976 of the family's 1831-position model. The record is from RNAcentral.
CAAUAGCGUAUAUUAAAGUUGUUGCAGUUAAAAAGCUCGUAGUUGGAUUUCUGCUGAGGACGAUCGGUCCGCCCACUGGGUGAGUAUCUGGCUCGGCCUUGGCAUCUUCUUGGAGAACGUUGCUGCACUUGACUGUGUGGCGCGGUAUCCAGGACUUUUACUUUGAGGAAAUUAGAGUGUUUCAAGCAGGCGCACGCCCUGAAUACAUUAGCAUGGAAUAAUGAGAUAGGACCUUGGUUCUAUUUUGUUGGUUUCUAGAGCUGAGGUAAUGAUUAAUAGGGAUAGUUGGGGGCAUUCGUAUUUAACUGUCAGAGGUGGAAUUCUUGGAUUUGUUAAAGACGGACUACUGCGAAAGCAUUUGCCAAGGAUGUUUUCAUUGA